UAAAGGUAUUCCGGUAGACGAUGGGGAUGCGUUCCAUUAGAUAGUAGGCGGGGUAACGGCCCACCUAGUCUUCGAUGGAUAGGGGUUCUGAGAGGAAGGUCCCCCACAUUGGAACUGAGACACGGUCCAAACUCCUACGGGAGGCAGCAGUGAGGAAUAUUGGUCAGUGGGCGAGAGCCUGAACCAGCCAAGUAGCGUGAAGGAUGACUGCCCUAUGGGUUGUAAACUUCUUUUAUAAAGGAAUAAAGUCGGGUAUGGAUACCCGUUUGCAUGUACUUUAUGAAUAAGGAUCGGCUAACUCCGUGCCAGCAGCCGCGGUAAUACGGAGGAUCCGAGCGUUAUCCGGAUUUAUUGGGUUUAAAGGGAGCGUAGAUGGAUGUUUAAGUCAGUUGUGAAAGUUUGCGGCUCAACCGUAAAAUUGCAGUUGAUACUGGAUAUCUUGAGUGCAGUUGAGGCAGGCGGAAUUCGUGGUGUAGCGGUGAAAUGCUUAGAUAUCACGAAGAACUCCGAUUGCGAAGGCAGCCUGCUAAGCUGCAACUGACAUUGAGGCUCGAAAGUGUGGGUAUCAAACAGGAUUAGAUACCCUGGUAGUCCACACGGUAAACGAUGAAUACUCGCUGUUUGCGAUAUACUGCAA
This 637-nucleotide ribosomal RNA is filed under the name uncultured bacterium. Its description in RNAcentral is "bacterial SSU rRNA". It matches the Rfam family "Bacterial small subunit ribosomal RNA", at positions 202 to 842 of the family's 1533-position model. The record is from RNAcentral.